ACAAGUUACUUCCUCAUAAUGAGAAUUUGUAUUUGAAAGCACAGUACUACAUAUUUGAAAAUGGCAAUGUACAGUGCAUAUCAUCUGAAUAUAACGUGAAGAGUUUCAAUAUGUAUUAAUAUUGAUCAAUGAUUAGUAACUUGUGGUUAAACAUUCAUGUUUUGAUGGUGUAUUGUUGAAAUACACAGCAAAAGAUAAGUUAAGUUUUUACUAUUUCUGUAAAUGUAAUUUAAUGAAAUCAAGAGUGACUAUAACCUGACUGCUGGGAAAUGGGAAACUUUUUUUAAGCAUACUGCCUGAAGGUGCUGCUGAAUGUGGGUGAUCAGAAUGACAGGGUAAAACAUUAAAAUAUUAAAAAAAAAAAGUUAAAAUAUUUCAACUAAAGUAUCUCAGUAUACAUUUAGCUGUGUGUGGGUAACUCAAGUGGCUGGAUUCUUCAAGUAAAAAUAUGUUAAUCGCAUUUGUUCAAAACACUUGCACCAGUUUCCAGCUAUAAUGCUAUAAAUCAUAUGUCAUUUACAUACAUGAAAACAAAAAUUAGGUAAACAUAAGCAAUUUUCUGUUUGAUUAAUGUAAAAUCAUUAUUAUCACUAUUAUUGUUAUAAGUUAGAUAAGACUCACUGUUAACAGAGAAGAGGAAAACAAAACUCCGGUCAAGAGAAUUACUCUAUAAAUAAACUUCUGGGGGUCCAUAGUUGGAUGUAACAGCCACAGUCAAAUGUUAGACAAAUUUACAAUUCUGGGGACCUUGGCCAACUGGCACCAACCCCUUUUGGCCAUUCUACAUUACAAAUGUAUGUUCUAGGAAGACUAAUAAGAAGAUGAAAUAUUUGCAUCCUCUUCUGCCUUAAUGUCCAAAGGCAGUAGUAGUAACUUGACAAUACAGCAGCAGCAAGUGUCACAGCAGGAUUAUGGGAUGACAAACAAAAUAGAAGUAGGAGAUAAUGAUUGUCACACUUGUUUUUUUGUUUAAAUAACUAGAACCAGAGUUGUAAUAUAAACUGCUAAUCAUCUGCAGUUAUCAGGGUAUGUUAGAGACUAAACUCACAAGUCUUCAGCGUGGAUUGAAAUGCUGACUGAUGAGCCAUCUCUUAUAUACUGUAAACAGGCAACUCCUUCCUUAACUCCUUGAGAUUGUAAUGUACUCUAUCAUUUAUAUGUAAUAUGAUUAAUAUAAACCCAUAAUAGUAGUCAGUAGCAUUGUCAUGUGUACAGCUACAGUAAAAUUCUUUUCUUGCAUAUCAAAUGUAAGAAGUCAGCUCUAAACUUUGCAAAAAGCUAAGUACAGGAGUUAUGUGACAGUACUGUUCUAGUUCAGGUAAUGGCUCUUACACUAGCAGUUUGAAUUAUAAAUUAUCUGUACAUAUCUGUGAAGUAUGACUUAUUUUCUCCAGACCAAAACAAACUAAGAAAUAAAAAUGUAGUCUUUGUUCAAAUAUUAACAUUUUCAUAUAGCUUACACAUUGACUCUUUUUUUUGUUUCUAAUUCUCAUUUAACAACAUGAAAGUUUGAUUUAAUAAACAUAUUACCUGUCCCAUUGCAAUUGCCGAUAGGCCAGUGAUCAGUUAUGAAUCUUAUGCUAUCUCGUUUCCAGUUGUUUGUCUGUGUGAUUGCCAGUUUGCCAGGCUAUGCACAUGUUUAAUAGAUGAUGAAAAUAAAAAAUGUCUUUCCAACAUGAGAAACAGCUUGAUUUACACAAUAAAUCUGGAUUUUUUUUAAAUUCCUCUUGUUGCUUUCCGUUAAGUGGUGACAUGUUUUGAGAGGAAAUGCAAAAAUCCCCAAGUUAUAGUAAAAUAAUAAAGAAUUAAAUACAUGUUCUUCCUGUGUAGGCAUGGGUUUUCCUGCAGGUACUUGGGCCUUUCUCAUAUAUCAUAAAGAUAUUCAUCCUUUGUUGAUUUGCAAUGCAAAACUGGCCCAGUGUGACUGUAGAUGUGUCUGCCUAUAAAUGGGCCCUGUGAUAUACUAAUGUUGCAUCUAGGGUUACUGCCUGCCUUGUGCUUGAUGCUAACUCUGAAUUGGAAUAGGCAGGGUCUACGAAUGUUAUGUUGUGUUAAAGAUGAUUAAUGAAAAAACACAUGUAAAGUAUAACUUAUAUACAUAAUGAUCUAUAUCUAUAUAUAAUUUAAAAAGGAUCAAAUGCUGGUAUAGACAAUGAAAUGGUUUUCCAAACAGAAUCGAGAAAAAAAAAUAUUCUGAUGUUCAUUUUGUGCUUUUCUAUUACAGGGUCACAGUAAACUGUUAUCCUGGGAACGUGAGGAACUAGGUAGGAGCAAAUUUCGCAUGAGGUGCCAGUCUGAAAGGGCAUACUCAUGCACACAUCCACGUUCACACUCAGCCCUAUCUGGCUAGUUUAGAGUUGUCCCUUAACAGCCAAAUUCUCCAGACAAGCAUUCAAGACUUGAGGCCACCUUGUAAACUAAACCCACAUCCAUGGAGGUGUGCUAUGCAUUGUGUCGCCAUUCCAACCAAAAGCUUUAUUGCAGUCGUAUGCAAAUACAAAUAGUGUGCUUUUAUGGAUCUGAUUCUUAAACCAUGAUGAAGUUUAAACACGUAUUUUUACAUUGCUUGUUAAUUAUUUUCUUUUUUAUAUAAUAUUUAACAGUCUUAAAGUUAUACAGGCAUCCUUUUCCUGGGUCUGUGCCUUUUGCCUGAUCCUGAUGUCUGGAUAAGCUCUAGCUCCUUGCAACCCUGCAUUGCACAAAGUAAAGCAGCAGAAAAUACCUUUAAUUUUACAACAAAAUCCCAUGUGCUAGAAUAUAGUAUGAUUAAAGUGGCUGGAUGCUUCAAGCAAAAUGUCUUAGUUGUUCAUUAUUAUGAAGUAUGUCUUAUUUGUGCAGAAACAUAUUUCAGUAAUCAAUAAUUAUUUCAUAAAAUAUUUAUUUAUAUAAUGUAUAGCACCUUUCAGCAAGGACAUGCCAACGUGAUUUACAAAACACCAAACAAAGUUGAUAGUAAAGCGACGAUUUAUUAUGAAAUGGUAGACACAUCUGUCUGAAAAGGCAGAAAAGACAGUCCUGUAUGCAUCGGUGAUUUUCUAGUGAAAGGCUCGCACCAGUUUGUACUUAGGUGUCUGCUUUUACUUCUAAGACACAUAAUGAGUUAAUAAGAAUUAAUAUACAGUUCAAUAACCGUAAAUGUAAGCCAAUUUUAUUUACCCAUAAUCAUUUGUAAAAUCUUUCCUAUUAAUAGCUGUUAUAUAACACAGAGUUCAUAGUAUUUUAAAUACUGGCUGUGAAAUAAAUCCUCUGAGACUAAAAUUAAACCAGAGCUUAGGUCUUGUGCUACUUGGCUGCUUGCUAAUAGCAAAUUAGCUGCAUUGGAUUACUGAUGUAAGGCGGGGACGGUGGUGCGCUUGUGUUUUCAGACAGAAAAAUAUUAUGUCAUAAACAUUGUAUUACAAAUAAUUAUUUUGCACUGUCCUGGAGAUCUAUAUAGCCUUCUUAAAGGGCUUCUCAUGCUAUUUAGACGAUGACUGUGACUGGCACAUCAAAAUUCCAAGAUUAUGUAGUCUGCCUCAUUCAUUUUUAUAUGACUGUCUAAUGCUCCUAGAUUUUCUGCAUUUUUUUGCAAGUCUCAUAAAUAAUGUAUAUUGUACUACACAAUUUUUGCAAAAAAACUUUUCACACUAUGUGUUCCAUAAGGAAGUUAAAAAUACCUGCCCCUCGUGAAUGAGAUUCAAACUGAUAAGUCUUUUUCUUAUUUGAAUGUUCACCGAUUUUAGCUGAUUGUAUAUAUAACUAGCGCCAGUACCUGUCAAAGACGGAUAAUAGAAUUAUUCAAA
Molecule: long non-coding RNA, 3782 nt
Organism: Erpetoichthys calabaricus (reedfish)
Lineage: Eukaryota; Metazoa; Chordata; Cladistia; Polypteriformes; Polypteridae
Exons: 2
Source: RefSeq, a predicted model, not a curated record